UAAUACAUGCAAGUCGUACGCACUGGCCCAACUGAUUGAUGGUGCUUGCACCUGAUUGACGAUGGAUCACCAGUGAGUGGCGGACGGGUGAGUAACACGUAGGUAACCUGCCCCGGAGCGGGGGAUAACAUUUGGAAAACAGAUGCUAAUACCGCAUAACAACAAAAGCCACAUGGCUUUUGUUUGAAAGAUGGCUUUGGCUAUCACUCUGGGAUGGACCUGCGGUGCAUUAGCUAGUUGGUAAGGUAACGGCUUACCAAGGCGAUGAUGCAUAGCCGAGUUGAGAGACUGAUCGGCCACAAUGGAACUGAGACACGGUCCAUACUCCUACGGGAGGCAGCAGUAGGGAAUCUUCCACAAUGGGCGCAAGCCUGAUGGAGCAACACCGCGUGAGUGAAGAAGGGUUUCGGCUCGUAAAGCUCUGUUGUUGGAGAAGAACGUGCGUGAGAGUAACUGUUCACGCAGUGACGGUAUCCAACCAAAAAGUCACGGCUAACUACGUGCCAGCAGCCGCGGUAAUAC
This 522-nucleotide ribosomal RNA is filed under the name Limosilactobacillus reuteri. RNAcentral describes it as "bacterial SSU rRNA". It matches the Rfam family "Bacterial small subunit ribosomal RNA", at positions 49 to 526 of the family's 1533-position model. Lineage: Bacteria; Bacillati; Bacillota; Bacilli; Lactobacillales; Lactobacillaceae. The record is from RNAcentral.